GCGGGUUUAGCUCAGUUGGGAGAGCGUCAGACUGAAGAAAAUAAACUUCAAUCCAAAUACCUCCACAAAAGGUUAAUCUGAAGGUCGUGUGUUCGAUCCACACAAACCGCA
Cladorrhinum samala is the source of this 111-nucleotide non-coding RNA. NCBI's taxonomy places the organism in Eukaryota, Fungi, Ascomycota, Sordariomycetes, Sordariales, Podosporaceae. The record is from the annotation of a GenBank genome assembly.